This 492-nucleotide ribosomal RNA is filed under the name uncultured bacterium. Its description in RNAcentral is "partial 16S ribosomal RNA". It matches the Rfam family "Bacterial small subunit ribosomal RNA", at positions 29 to 507 of the family's 1533-position model. The record is from RNAcentral.
AGUGAGCGCUGGCGGUAGGCCUAACACAUGCAAGUCGAACGGCAGCACAGUAAGAGCUUGCUCUUACGGGUGGCGAGUGGCGGACGGGUGAGGAAUACAUCGGAAUCUACUUUUUCGUGGGGGAUAACGUAGGGAAACUUACGCUAAUACCGCAUACGACCUACGGGUGAAAGCAGGGGAUCUUCGGACCUUGCGCGAUUGAAUGAGCCGAUGUCGGAUUAGCUAGUUGGCGGGGUAAAGGCCCACCAAGGCGACGAUCCGUAGCUGGUCUGAGAGGAUGGUCAGCCACACUGGAACGGAGACACGGUCCAGACUCCUACGGGAGGCAGCAGUGGGGAAUAUUGGACAAUGGGGGCAAGCCUGAUCCAGCCAUACCGCGUGGGUGAAGAAGGCCUUCGGGUUGUAAAGCCCUUUUGUUGGGAAAGAAAAGCAGCAGGUUAAUACCCCGCUGUUCUGACGGUACCCAAAGAAUAAGCACCGGCUAACUUCGUG